AACGAACGCUGGCGGCAUGCCUAACACAUGCAAGUCGAACGAUCCCUUCGGGGAUAGUGGCGCACGGGUGCGUAACGCGUGGGAAUCUGCCCUUGGCUUCGGAAUAACAGUUAGAAAUGACUGCUAAUACCGGAUGAUGUCUUCGGACCAAAGAUUUAUCGGCCAGGGAUGAGCCCGCGUAGGAUUAGGUAGUUGGUGAGGUAAAGGCUCACCAAGCCGACGAUCCUUAGCUGGUCUGAGAGGAUGAUCAGCCACACUGGGACUGAGACACGGCCCAGACUCCUACGGGAGGCAGCAGUGGGGAAUAUUGGACAAUGGGCGCAAGCCUGAUCCAGCAAUGCCGCGUGAGUGAUGAAGGCCUUCGGGUCGUAAAGCUCUUUUACCAGGGAUGAUAAUGACAGUACCUGGAGAAUAAGCUCCGGCUAACUCCGUGCCAGCAGCCGCAGUAA
RNAcentral lists this ribosomal RNA (449 nucleotides) under uncultured bacterium. Its description in RNAcentral is "partial 16S ribosomal RNA". It matches the Rfam family "Bacterial small subunit ribosomal RNA", at positions 29 to 523 of the family's 1533-position model. The record is from RNAcentral.